This 253-nucleotide ribosomal RNA is filed under the name uncultured bacterium. RNAcentral's name for it is "partial 16S ribosomal RNA". It matches the Rfam family "Bacterial small subunit ribosomal RNA", at positions 524 to 776 of the family's 1533-position model. The record is from RNAcentral.
UACGUAGGUGGCAAGCGUUAUCCGGAAUUAUUGGGCGUAAAGCGCGCGCAGGCGGUUUCUUAAGUCUGAUGUGAAAGCCCACGGCUCAACCGUGGAGGGUCAUUGGAAACUGGGGAACUUGAGUGCAGAAGAGAAAAGCGGAAUUCCACGUGUAGCAGUGAAAUGCGUAGAGAUGUGGAGGAACACCAGUGGCGAAGGCGGCUUUUUGGUCUGUAACUGACGCUGAGGCGCGAAAGCGUGGGGAGCAAACAGG